Molecule: ribosomal RNA, 591 nt
Filed under: uncultured Gammaproteobacteria bacterium
Lineage: Bacteria; Pseudomonadati; Pseudomonadota; Gammaproteobacteria
Description: bacterial SSU rRNA
Rfam family: Bacterial small subunit ribosomal RNA
Source: RNAcentral
GAGUUUGAUUAUGGCUCAGAAUGAACGCUGGCGGCGUGCUUAACACAUGCAAGUCGAGCGCGAAAGUCGACUUCGGUCGACGAGUAGAGCGGCGAACGGGUGAGUAACACGUGGGCAAUCUACCUGAGAGUGGGGGAUAACCUGGGGAAACUCGGGCUAAUACCGCAUACGACUGUGGGACUGCGGUCCCAUAGGGAAAGCUGGCCUAUGCAUGCAAGCUGGCGCUCUCAGAGGAGCCCGCGCCCGAUUAGCUUGUUGGUGGAGGUAACGGCUCACCAAGGCGACGAUCGGUAGCCGGCCUGAGAGGGUGAUCGGCCACACUGGGACUGAGACACGGCCCAGACUCCUACGGAGGCAGCAGUGGGGGAAUAUUGGACAAUGGGCGCAAGCCUGAUCCAGCAACGCCGCGUGGAGAAGGAAGGCCCCUCGGGUCGUAAACUCCUGUCAGGUGGGACGAAAAGGCGUCGGGAAUAUACGGCGCUGCUGACGGACCACCAAAGGAGCCCCGCUAAUUCGUGCCAGCGCCGCGGUAAUACGGAGGGGCUACGGUUAUCCGGAAUCAUUGGCGUAAAGGCCCGAAGGCGGCUAAGA